AGUUCAUGACAAGGACAGCUUCUCAAAAAAAUCUUUAAAUCUUUCCCAUGUAUCAUAAAGUGUCUCAAUAUCAAACUGAACAAAAGAAGAGAUGUCAUUCUCAACUU
Gossypium hirsutum (cotton) is the source of this 107-nucleotide non-coding RNA. NCBI's taxonomy places the organism in Eukaryota, Viridiplantae, Streptophyta, Magnoliopsida, Malvales, Malvaceae. The record is from Rfam.